Acinonyx jubatus (cheetah) is the source of this 2195-nucleotide long non-coding RNA. RefSeq lists it as uncharacterized. The transcript is spliced from 2 exons. NCBI's taxonomy places the organism in Eukaryota, Metazoa, Chordata, Mammalia, Carnivora, Felidae. The record is from RefSeq and is a predicted model, not a curated record.
GCAGUUUUCUUUAUUCGUUCCCUCAAGCCCUAACAAUGCAGGCAAUAAAUGACCUGAUAAGGGGCACGUGAUGCCAGCGAAGAGGAUGGUUCCAGAAGGCACAGAAGACUGUGUGCAGAAGAGGGCAUGGAGUGAGGAACAACCUGACCUGAAGCAACUGUCCAGGCCUGGAGUAGCGCCUGAAGCUAGAAGGCACCAGAUGAAGGUGAGAGGGUCCAGCCCAGGUCUUUGGCUCAGGCCAGGACACCUGGGGCCUUCCUUGUCUGGGCAUACGGAAGGUGUAGGGACAGAUUAUAAAAUCCUUGACAGCAAGUAAAAGCUAAGUACAGUUUGCUGAAUGAAUACAAGAAAUGAGGUCACAGAAAGAGCAAAGCCCAUAAAACAACAGCAACAGCUUUGGGAUGCUGCCAGCAGGCAAAGCAUUGAGAGCAGAAAGCCUAAUCCUAUGCCCUCGUGAAAAGUAUCACACUGCAGGAAACCCGUAACUCAGCAGAUAGGGCAGUUUCCUGCAGAAAAGCCCCUCGUGAGAAGGGGCUGAGUGACAAGAUUUAGUGCAGGCAGAGAGCCCACCUUCAACCAACUACAAUCAGAGGAGAGAAAUUUUUAACCUUUUGCUAAAGUCAUUAAUGGAACUGUACUACCUGCUACCUAAGAACUAAAACGUUUGGUCAGAACUUCCCACUCUCCCUCUCCCACUCUGACCCUGUGCUAACCGGCAAUGCAGUACCCAGAAAGCAAGGAGAAAACCACUUAGAGAUCACUUUUCUAUUUUCAUGGAUUAAAAUGAAACAAAUUUUCAGUGGAAAUGCAUAACUAUCGCUGUUAAGUACCAAUCCAUCUCAUCUUAAAGGUUUGAAAGUACAAAUCUAAGAAACGAAAUAUGUUGAAACUUACUCUUUAAUUCAACCGGUUCUCAGGAAACCCAAGAAGUCCUGGGAUCUAACGGAGGAAGGCAGACACACCAACUACUCACUCCCCCCACUCCCAUCCAAGCUCUGAGGAGGGUACAAGGCCCCCAAGACUCAAUUCUUCACACUCUCACCUCCCAGGAAGACCUCCACUCAAGGGUAAAAGCAGUAACAUAGAAUAGUUCCUAACUGCAAGGCCUCAACGAGCUGCUACUACGGCCAGAAUGAAUCCAGAAACCACACAGGCCUUGGGGAAGUAAGAGCUCUGAGACAAAGUCAUGCCUUCAACUGGUAGAAGGAUCAACAAAGCUUGGAGGGACACACAAAUGGUCAGAGCUUCACCUUUCCUAAACAGUGCCUUCCUAUGUGCCCAAUUGGGAACUAAGCUUAAAUAAAAGCUAUCUUUCACUUCUUUUCAGGACAUCACAUUAAUUAUCCUAGUUAUGGUUUAUUUAUGCAUGUAAAAAAAAUAUGAUGAAAGUCACAUGCCCACCUACAAAAAAUUUGUAAAGUGGAGAAAAGGCAAAAAUUACCCUUAAUCCCAUCAAUAAAAAUGUUAGCCUUUUGGUAAUAAGUUUUCUCUCAGUAUUUUUACAGAUUUAAUCAUUAUGUAUCUACCAUAUUGUUAAACUGCUUUACACAACUAUUCUUUUCUCUAAAAGCUUUCAUUUAAAAAAAAAACUUUUUUUUUUUUUUUUGCUUUUGUUAUUUUUUAGUGUCUAUUCAUCUUUGGGAGAGCAUGAGUGGGAAAGGGGCAAAGAGAGAAGAGGGCAGAGGAUCUGAAGUGGGAUCCAUGCGGACAGUUGCAAGCCCGAUGUGGGACUUGAAUUCACAAACCAUGAGAUCAUGACCUGAGACAAAAUCAGAUGCUCAACUGACUGAGCCACCCAGGCACCCCAAUUUUUAUUUUUUAAGUAGGCUCCAUGCCCAGCAUGGAGCCCAAUGCAGGGCUUGAACUCACGACCCUGAGAUCAUGACCUGAGAUCAAGAGUUAGAUGCUCAACCAACUGAACCAUUCAGGUGCCCCUAAAAUCUUUUAAAUAAAUCAAAUAUGUGUAUCCACUUAAAAAAAAAAAUUAAAUACUGGGGCACCUGAGUGGCUCAGACGGUUAAGCCUCCGACUUUGGCUCAGGUCAUGAUCUCUUGGCUAGUGAAUGUGAGCCUCACACUGGGCUCUGUGCUGACAGCUCAGAGUUUGGAGCCUGCUUCGGAUUCUGUGUCUCCCUCUCUGUCCCUUCCUUGCUUGUGCAUGUGCUCUCUCUCAAAUAUAAACAUUAAAAAUUUUUU